RNAcentral lists this ribosomal RNA (484 nucleotides) under uncultured bacterium. Its description in RNAcentral is "partial 16S ribosomal RNA". It matches the Rfam family "Bacterial small subunit ribosomal RNA", at positions 30 to 507 of the family's 1533-position model. The record is from RNAcentral.
AUUGAACGCUGGCGGAAUGCUUUACACAUGCAAGUCGAACGGCAGCACGGGGGCAGCCCUGGUGGCGAGUGGCGAACGGGUGAGUAAUACAUCGGAACGUGCCCGGUCGUGGGGGAUAACGUAGCGAAAGUUACGCUAAUACCGCAUACGAUCUGAGGAUGAAAGCGGGGGACCUUCGGGCCUCGCGCGAUCGGAGCGGCCGAUGUCAGAUUAGGUAGUUGGUGGGGUAAAGGCCUACCAAGCCGACGAUCUGUAGCUGGUCUGAGAGGACGACCAGCCACACUGGGACUGAGACACGGCCCAGACUCCUACGGGAGGCAGCAGUGGGGAAUUUUGAACAAUGGGCGCAAGCCUGAUCCAGCCAUUCCGCGUGCAGGACGAAGGCCUUCGGGUUGUAAACUGCUUUUGUACGGAACGAAAAGGCUCUGGCUAAUACCUGGGGCUCAUGACGGUACCGUAAGAAUAAGCACCGGCUAACUACGUG